AGCUAUAUACUUCGAAAAAUAAGUCCAAAUGCCUAAAGAAGAUAAUAUGAGAUGAAUUGUAUAUUUGUUUUACAUAUAAUAUAAAUAUUUUUUUUAUUUGAAAUUUCUAUUCGACCCAUUUCAAGAAGAGGGUUUUUAAAAACACUUAAGAAAUUACAUAAAAGAAAUGCUUUAAAAAAUCAAAAAAUAAGAAAUCAAGUUUCUAGUGCUUUUUAUAAUUAUUUGAAUUAAGAUAUGGAAUGACAUAUGAAGCUUAUAAUAAAAUAUUAAAAAAAUGAUUUGGUCUAUCUUUGGUCUCUUCUCACUUUAAACUUUAUCUACAAAUGAAGACUACUAAAAGAUUGUUUUUCUUCAUCUAACAGGGGACCUUAAUAAUGCUUUUGCACCAUGGAUUUUUAACUAGGCUUAUAGAUAUAGAUACCCCUACUUCUAUUGUGUACAACCGAAUUGUUUUUUGUCGUAUAUUUUAUUGUAAUCUCUAUAAGUGAACAUGUAUAACAUGCAUAUUAAACUAAAUAAAAUUGAAUUUAAAGGUUCCCUUUCUAUAUUUUUUUGUCACUAGAGCAAUUGAAUUUGUGGAGAAAUAGAUUUAUUGUGGAAUGUUUGCAUGAUAUUUUCCACUCAUUUGACUUACAAAGUUUUGUCAAUUUUAUUUAAAUUAUAAUCAUUUAAACUCAAAAUACCUACUGUCUUACUUUUUAUGAUUUUGUUUGCAAGAACUGUGAGAUUGCUGUGUGCUUGUAUAUUCUGGAGUAGAUGGUUGGGAGAGGAUUUGGCUGUGUGACAAAGUGUCAACAAGUGUAAAUGAAACAUGGUUAAAAAAAAUAAAAAACAAAAAUCGUUUUAACUGUGAUUAAAAGAAAUUGUAAAAAGAAACAUAUAUAUGAAUGUAUGCAUAUAUAUAUAUAUAUAUAAUGGUCGGAAGGGUUUCAUUUCUUGCUGAAUCAAAGGAUAAUCAAAGUGUGUACUUCGAGCCAAAAUGGCUUCCAGGAAAUGCAGAGCAAACAUAUGUAUUCACAUGGUUUAGGGUUUCCUGAACAAACGUGACCCUUCACUUGCUACCAAUUCAGAGAAGAGUAUACAGAUAUAUUCAAAAGAACCAGGGCUGUAAGAAACCAAAGGGAAAAUGGAAAAUAUACAGCUCUAAGUUCUGUGUAGACUCCAGAAGGGACUAUCAGUAAAUUGCAAAUUAUUAUUACAGCAUUAUAAAAACAAAUAAAUGAAUAAGAAGCAGCAGUUUCUAUGCAAAUCUUCAAAUUGAUAAAUUCGUUCUAAUUGAUUAUGAGUUUUAAGGAUGUAAUUAAAAAUACAUUAACAAAAUGAGGACAUUGUACUUGUUUUGAAGAAAAUAACAAUAAUAAUGUCUAGAAGCAAUCACAUGUUUUGAAAGAAGUUGUAGACAAUACUUCCAGUAUCAGAUUAUUGUUAAUAAACAUUUGAAAGAAUUAUAACACAUGAUUCGUCAUCAUAUAUAAGGCAAUAUUAAAUAGACCAAGUUAUUACUAAAUGGACCCACCCAUCCGAACUAUCAUGAAAAGAAAAAAAUGAUCUCUAGAUUCAUUUUUCUACUAUUGGAUAUGCAACCAAUAAAAACCAACCACAUUCAUCAUGAUUACCAUAUUUGUCAAGAAUUAAAAGACAAAAUAUAUUUUUUACAAUUUUCAUUGAAUCAUGUAAGCUUGAUUAUUAAAGUGUAUAUAUUUAUUGAGUUUUUUUUUGUGAUUAUAGAAAAGACUUUAUUGAUGUUGCUUGUUAUAUUUCAAAGUGAAUGCUAUAUAUCACCAACCCUACUUGUGUUUCUGUAUUUUCAAAGUUUACACUUAAUAUUUCAUUUUACACAUACAUGUAUUCAACAUACAAUAAAAUACUCACUUAUUCAAGACAAUUAUUAUUAUUAUUAUUAUUUUUUAAUGAUUAUAGAUAAAGGUAGUCUUUCAAUCGUGUCCAAGACUAGAGAAUAACAGCUUGGAAAGGUUGAUGAAGCCCCACAUUCUAUGAUGAUUGUAGCCUUAAAAAGCAUCCUUAUAUAUCAAGCCACGAUGUUUAUAAGGAUUCGGCAUCCUCGAAACCCUAAAAGUGUGCCAACAGGCUUUCCUGGCUCCCCUUCUCGUCGAGGUAAGCUGCAGCAUUCCUUCCAACUGCGUUUUAUGAUCGCAAACCCCACACAUACCGCGUGAGGAUGUGGCGGAGCACAGUCAGUGGGCUCAGUCCCACGUGCGCACAUUCAAGAGCGGGAUUCUCUCCUUUGCGACCAAAUCAGGGUCUCAUACAAAGACGGAGCAAUCGCGAGGGACCUUUGUGCUGCGAUUUCAUCUUGUCACGAGUGUUAGUGGAACCCAGUAACUCCAAUCUUGUGUGCAUCAGAAGGUUCUGCAGGGCGCUUUUAUGAGAAGGCUGUGUCUCACCAACUUCGAAAUGAGAGCGUGCCCUUGUUUCUAGGGGCAAGUGGGAGUCUCGCCUGGUGUGGCAUGCUCUGGUUCCUUCGAUAUGGAUAUGUCUGUGAAGUAAAGGAGUAUACCAGAGCAUAAUCGAGGGAGCGCAGAAGCCUUCUAAUUCGCACUGGCCUGAAAAAAACAGGCAUGGAGGAAUGACGACGAUGGCACGCAAAGAUGACCUUUUAGAUAAUAUUGAUCAGAAGAUAAUAAUACAAAAGAGAUAUUUGAUAGGAUAUCUAAAGCACAAAAAAUAUAUUAUUACAUAAAUUUAUAUAGAAUACUUCAGAAAAAUAAAAUGAAUUUAAUCAAAAUAUUCUAAAGAAUUUAUAUAUGACA
This is a non-coding RNA of Physcomitrium patens, 2771 nucleotides long. NCBI's taxonomy places the organism in Eukaryota, Viridiplantae, Streptophyta, Bryopsida, Funariales, Funariaceae. The record is from RefSeq and is a predicted model, not a curated record.